AAGACUAUACUUUCAAGGAUCAUUUCUAUAGUUUAUUACUAGAGAAGUUUCUCUGAAUGUGCAGAGUACCCAAAAUUUAAGAU
The sequence is a small nucleolar RNA, 83 nucleotides long. Its record names the gene U3. It matches the Rfam family "Small nucleolar RNA U3". From Rfam's summary of the family: Small nucleolar RNAs (snoRNAs) are involved in the processing and modification of rRNA in the nucleolus. The record is from Ensembl.